RNAcentral lists this unclassified non-coding RNA (520 nucleotides) under Hevea brasiliensis (rubber tree). Lineage: Eukaryota; Viridiplantae; Streptophyta; Magnoliopsida; Malpighiales; Euphorbiaceae. The record is from RNAcentral.
CUGAAAUACAUACAAGUGUACAGCCAACAAGGCAAAUGACUGGGGAAAUAGAAAAUCUGCUCGGAACACAUUGUUCCCUGUAAUUUCUUUUAUUCCAAUUUUUUUCAUACGAUUCCAUCUCCUCUCUUACAUCCCAAAAACUCCUCACUGUACAACAAACAAAUCAUAAAACAAAGAGAAAAAUAUUUAUUAAAGACAAGAAAUUCUUAUCUAAAUUGAUACCAUAAAUUUGAGACAAAACAUAUGUGUAGAAUCAGGCUGAGGAAAUCCAUAACGAAUCGGGCUGAGGAAAUCCCCAAGCAGGACAUGGAGAAAUCUGGUUUUCUGGCAGUAGGAAGACAUUAGCUAAUAGCAACAAAUCGGGCAAUGUAUUAGUCCAUUCUCAUUACAAUCAGGGCAACGUUGAAAGCCAUGCUCACAUUCUUCUUCUUCUUCUUCUUCGUCACAUUCGUAGUAUAUCUUACAACUCCCAAAGCAUGUCUCGCAUGGCACAAACCUGAUAUCCCCACAAGCCUCACAA